This 426-nucleotide ribosomal RNA is filed under the name uncultured bacterium. RNAcentral describes it as "bacterial SSU rRNA". It matches the Rfam family "Bacterial small subunit ribosomal RNA", at positions 355 to 773 of the family's 1533-position model. The record is from RNAcentral.
UGGGGAAUUUUGGACAAUGGGCGCAAGCCUGAUCCAGCCAUUCCGCGUGAGUGAAGAAGGCCUUCGGGUUGUAAAGCUCUUUCGGCAGGGAAGAAACGGUUUCAGCUAAUACCUGGAGCUAAUGACGGUACCUGAAGAAGAAGCACCGGCUAACUACGUGCCAGCAGCCGCGGUAAUACGUAGGGUGCGAGCGUUAAUCGGAAUUACUGGGCGUAAAGCGUGCGCAGGCGGUUUUGUAAGACAGAUGUGAAAUCCCCGGGCUGAACCUGGGAACUGCGUUUGUGACUGCAAGACUCGAGUACGGCAGAGGGGGGUGGAAUUCCACGUGUAGCAGUGAAAUGCGUAGAGAUGUGGAGGAACACCGAUGGCGAAGGCAGCCCCCUGGGUCGAUACUGACGCUCAUGCACGAAAGCGUGGGGAGCAAAC